UAUAAGAAGAAAAACAAAGUU
Molecule: non-coding RNA, 21 nt
Filed under: Caenorhabditis elegans
Lineage: Eukaryota; Metazoa; Nematoda; Chromadorea; Rhabditida; Rhabditidae
Source: RNAcentral